GAUGAACGCUAGCGAUAGGCUUAACACAUGCAAGUCGAGGGGCAGCAUGGUCUUAGCUUGCUAAGACUGAUGGCGACCGGCGCACGGGUGCGUAACGCGUAUGCAACUUGCCUCACAGAGGGGGAUAACCCGUCGAAAGACGGACUAAUACCGCGUUCACUCUAUUUUGGGCAUCCAAGGUAGAGGAAAUGAAAUUCGCUGUGAGAUAGGCAUGCGUCCCAUUAGCUAGUUGGUGAGGUAACGGCUCACCAAGGCGACGAUGGGUAGGGGAACUGAGAGGUUGAACCCCCACACUGGUACUGAGACACGGACCAGACUCCUACGGGAGGCAGCAGUGAGGAAUAUUGGGCAAUGGGCGAGGGCCUGAACCAGCCAAGUCGCGUGAAGGAUGACUGUCUUAUGGAUUGUAAACUUCUUUUGUAGGGGAAUAAAGAGGGGCACGUGUGCCCCAGUGAAUGUACCCUACGAAUAAGCAUCGGCUAACUCCGUG
This 490-nucleotide ribosomal RNA is filed under the name uncultured bacterium. RNAcentral describes it as "partial 16S ribosomal RNA". It matches the Rfam family "Bacterial small subunit ribosomal RNA", at positions 28 to 507 of the family's 1533-position model. The record is from RNAcentral.